GGUGGUUCUCAGGUGAUGAACCACAGAAUGGGGCUCCCUCCUCUCUGGUUCUGGGUGCAUCACUAGAGAACCACA
Myotis brandtii (Brandt's bat) is the source of this 75-nucleotide non-coding RNA. Lineage: Eukaryota; Metazoa; Chordata; Mammalia; Chiroptera; Vespertilionidae. The record is from Rfam.